ACACGACUACAUUAGAUACCCCUGUAGUCCUAGCCGCAAACGAUACUCGCUAGGUGUCGGCCACGGUGCGACCGUUGUCGGUGCCGUAGGGAAGCCGUGAAGCGAGCCACCUGGGAAGUACGGCCGCAAGGCUGAAACUUAAAGGAAUUGGCGGGGGGGCACCACAAGAGGUGGAGGCUGCGGUUCAAUUGGACUCAACGCCGGAAAACUCAUCGGGAGCGACAGCAGUAUGAUUGCCAGGUUGAUGACCUUGCUUGACAAGCUG
This 265-nucleotide ribosomal RNA is filed under the name uncultured archaeon. RNAcentral describes it as "partial 16S ribosomal RNA". It matches the Rfam family "Archaeal small subunit ribosomal RNA", at positions 717 to 982 of the family's 1478-position model. The record is from RNAcentral.